GAUUAUGGCUCAGGAUGAACGCUAGCUACAGGCUUAACACAUGCAAGUCGAGGGGCAGCAUUGGAGUAGCAAUACUCAGAUGGCGACCGGCGCACGGGUGAGUAACACGUAUCCAACCUGCCGCUUACUCGGGGAUAGCCUUUCGAAAGAAAGAUUAAUACCCGAUGGUAUAAAGAGUUCGCAUGUUCUCUUUAUUAAAGAAUUUCGGUAAGCGAUGGGGAUGCGUUCCAUUAGAUAGUUGGCGGGUAACGGCCCACCAAGUCUACGAUGGAUAGGGGUUCUGAGAGGAAGGUCCCCCACAUUGGAACUGAGACACGGUCCAAACUCCUACGGGAGGCAGCAGUGAGGAAUAUUGGUCAAUGGACGAGAGUCUGAACCAGCCAAAAGUAGCGUGAAGGAUGACUGCCCUAUGGGUUGUAAACUUCUUUUAUAAGGGAAUAAAGUGAGGGACGUGUCCCUUUUUGUAUGUACCUUAUGAAUAAGGAUCGGCUAACUCCGUGCCAGCCGCCGC
RNAcentral lists this ribosomal RNA (511 nucleotides) under uncultured bacterium. Its description in RNAcentral is "bacterial SSU rRNA". It matches the Rfam family "Bacterial small subunit ribosomal RNA", at positions 15 to 518 of the family's 1533-position model. The record is from RNAcentral.